RNAcentral lists this unclassified non-coding RNA (520 nucleotides) under uncultured Glomus. RNAcentral describes it as "SSU rRNA". It matches the Rfam family "Eukaryotic small subunit ribosomal RNA", at positions 569 to 1089 of the family's 1831-position model. The record is from RNAcentral. Lineage: Eukaryota; Fungi; Glomeromycota; Glomeromycetes; Glomerales; Glomeraceae.
AGCAGCCGCGGUAAUUCCAGCUCCAAUAGCGUAUAUUAAAGUUGUUGCAGUUAAAAAGCUCGUAGUUGAAUUUCGGGAUCAAGGAAUCGGUCAUGCCUCGGUAUGUACUGGUUUUAUUGGUUCUCACCUUCUAAAGAACCAUGAUGUCAUUCAUUUGAUGUUAUGGGGAAUUAGGACUGUUACCUUGAAAAAAUUUAGAGUGUUUAAAGCAGGCUUACGCUUGAAUACAUUAGCAUGGAAUAAUGAAAUAGGACAUCAGAUUCUAUUUUGUUGGUUUCUAGGAUCGAUGUAAUGAUUAAUAGGGAUAGUUGGGGGCAUUAGUAUUCAAUUGUCAGAGGUGAAAUUCUUGGAUUUAUUGAAGACUAACUACUGCGAAAGCAUUUGCCAAGGAUGUUUUCAUUAAUCAAGAACGAAAGUUAGGGGAUCGAAGACGAUCAGAUACCGUCGUAGUCUUAACCAUAAACUAUGCCGACUAGGGAUCGGAUGAUGUUUAUUUUUUAGUGACUCAUUUCGGCACCUU